Molecule: ribosomal RNA, 500 nt
Filed under: uncultured bacterium
Lineage: Bacteria
Description: partial 16S ribosomal RNA
Rfam family: Bacterial small subunit ribosomal RNA
Source: RNAcentral
AUUGAACGCUGGCGGCAGGCCUAACACAUGCAAGUCGAGCGGUAGAGAGAAGCUUGCUUCUCUUGAGAGCGGCGGACGGGUGAGUAAUGCCUAGGAAUCUGCCUGGUAGUGGGGGAUAACGUUCGGAAACGGACGCUAAUACCGCAUACGUCCUACGGGAGAAAGCAGGGGACCUUCGGGCCUUGCGCUAUCAGAUGAGCCUAGGUCGGAUUAGCUAGUUGGUGAGGUAAUGGCUCGCCAAGGCGACGAUCCGUAACUGGUCUGAGAGGAUGAUCAGUCACACUGGAACUGAGACACGGUCCAGACUCCUACGGGAGGCAGCAGUGGGGAAUAUUGGACAAUGGGCGAAAGCCUGAUCCAGCCAUGCAGCGUGUGUGAAGAAGGUCUUCGGAUUGUAAAGCACUUUAAGUUGGGAGGAAGGGUUGUAGAUUAAUACUCUGCAAUUUUGACGUUACCGACAGAAUAAGCACCGGCUAACUCUGUGCCAGCAGCCGCGGUAA